RNAcentral lists this ribosomal RNA (1341 nucleotides) under uncultured bacterium. RNAcentral describes it as "partial 16S ribosomal RNA". It matches the Rfam family "Bacterial small subunit ribosomal RNA", at positions 28 to 1381 of the family's 1533-position model. The record is from RNAcentral.
GACGAACGCUGGCGGCGUGCUUAACACAUGCAAGUCGAACGGUAAGGCUCCAGCUUGCUGGGGUACACGAGUGGCGAACGGGUGAGUAACACGUGGGUGACCUGCCCUGCACUUCGGGAUAAGCCUGGGAAACUGGGUCUAAUACCGGAUAGGACCGCACCGUGAGGGUGUGGUGGAAAGUUUUUUCGGUGUGGGAUGGGCCCGCGGCCUAUCAGCUUGUUGGUGGGGUAAUGGCCUACCAAGGCGGCGACGGGUAGCCGGCCUGAGAGGGUGGACGGCCACAUUGGGACUGAGACACGGCCCAGACUCCUACGGGAGGCAGCAGUGGGGAAUAUUGCACAAUGGGCGGAAGCCUGAUGCAGCGACGCCGCGUGGGGGAUGACGGCCUUCGGGUUGUAAACUCCUUUCACCAUCGACGAAGGGUUUCUGACGGUAGAUGGAGAAGAAGCACCGGCUAACUACGUGCCAGCAGCCGCGGUAAUACGUAGGGUGCGAGCGUUGUCCGGAAUUACUGGGCGUAAAGAGCUCGUAGGUGGUUUGUCGCGUCGUCUGUGAAAUUCCGGGGCUUAACUCCGGGCGUGCAGGCGAUACGGGCAUAACUUGAGUACUGUAGGGGAGACUGGAAUUCCUGGUGUAGCGGUGAAAUGUGCAGAUAUCAGGAGGAACACCGGUGGCGAAGGCGGGUCUCUGGGCAGUAACUGACGCUGAGGAGCGAAAGCAUGGGGAGCGAACAGGAUUAGAUACCCUGGUAGUCCAUGCCGUAAACGGUGGGCGCUAGGUGUGGGUUUCCUUCCACGGGAUCCGUGCCGUAGCUAACGCAUUAAGCGCCCCGCCUGGGGAGUACGGCCGCAAGGCUAAAACUCAAAGGAAUUGACGGGGGCCCGCACAAGCGGCGGAGCAUGUGGAUUAAUUCGAUGCAACGCGAAGAACCUUACCUGGGCUUGACAUAUACAGGAUCGCGCCAGAGAUGGUGUUUCCCAUGUGGCUUGUAUACAGGUGGUGCAUGGUUGUCGUCAGCUCGUGUCGUGAGAUGUUGGGUUAAGUCCCGCAACGAGCGCAACCCUUGUCUUAUGUUGCCAGCACGUUGUGGUGGGGACUCGUAAGAAACUGCCGGGGUUAACUCGGAGGAAGGUGGGGAUGACGUCAAAUCAUCAUGCCCCUUAUGUCCAGGGCUUCACACAUGCUACAAUGGUCGGUACAGUGGGUUGCCAGUCCGUGAGGGCGAGCUAAUCCCGCAAAGCCGGUCUCAGUUCGGAUCGGGGUCUGCAACUCGACCCCGUGAAGUCGGAGUCGCUAGUAAUCGCAGAUCAGCAACGCUGCGGUGAAUACGUUCCCGGGCCU